Molecule: long non-coding RNA, 4925 nt
Filed under: Anas zonorhyncha (Eastern spot-billed duck)
Lineage: Eukaryota; Metazoa; Chordata; Aves; Anseriformes; Anatidae
Description: lncRNA (ENSAZOG00000007834.1)
Source: RNAcentral
AUGGCUCCCGGCGCGGGGGGCGCUCCCCCUGGCGGCCGCCCCCCCUGCCUUGCCCCGACCUUCCUCCACCUCCUCCUCCUCCUCCUCCUCCUCCUCCUCCUCCUCCUGCUGCCCCCAGCGGCCCGGGAGGAACUGAACGGGCGCCGCACAGGAAGUAGCGGCUGCGGGGAGCAGUGGUGGUGGCGGUGGAGGAGGAGGAGGAGGAGGCAGAGGCAGCAGCAGCAGCAGCAGCAUCAGGGGCUGCGGCGCUCCAUGAGCCCAGGCUCCCGCAGCCGCCCGGCCCCGCUCGUCCCCGGCACUCAGCGCCCAAGCCCGGGGGCUGGAGCUUCCCGAGGAGAAGGAGGAGGAGGAGGAGGGAGGCAGGCAAAUGAGAAAGCAAAUCUCUUGAAACAUAAGCAGUGGUACUUCCCUGGAGGGAGGAGAUGGGAAUUCUCCUGUUACUCUGAGAGUUGCCAGGUGCCAGAAGUGGUCCACAGUGGUGGUGUCUCUCAUGCAUAAAAGGUGACAGCAAAAGUGGAAGGCUGAUGAGACCCCACUGACACAGCAAGAGGACAGUUUUUCAGGGUAAGAUUUUAAAACCCCGAAGCGUCUAGUGUCAGAUGUUGACAUUUUAAUGAUGAUCUCCAUGAUACCCUGCCCUCUUUGUGGGCUAUUAAUAGCUUUUUUAUAGGAAAGUAAUUUACUCCUGGUGAUUUUGCACACACAUGCAGCGUUGCUUUAGUAUUUUAAAAUGUUUCAAGGUCUAUUAUAGGAUGAGUCUUUUGCCACAAAACUUUAAUCUUUGUGAGAUUUUCUUCAAAGCUCAGAUUUGCAUAGCAAUACCUACUGGAUCAUCCACAGACUGUUCAGGGCAUGUUUUCUGUCUCCAUGCAAAGGUAUACUCCAUUUGAAGUUCUAGUUUUCCCUGCUAUGAAAAAAUGCUAAAGCAUUCAUCAUAGGUUAUAUUGGGUGGGCAAAUAACCACUUCUGUGAGUCCCAGGUAUUCUUGGACCAAAUUUUACACAUACAUUAGUUAUUACACCUGAAUCUGGUUAAUAUUGAUCGUCUGCAGCUUUGGUAGGUGAAGGGAUGCAGAUGAACAAAGCCUUGUUACAGUGUGGUGGUGACCAGCUACUUUCAGAGCCAGUUCUGCAGAAUGCUUUUACUCAGGCUCAUNNNNNNNNNNACCACGACCCCCAGAUCCCUCUCUUCUAGGCUGCUCUCCAGCGUCUCAUCGCCCAGUCUGUACGUGCAGCCGGGGUUUCCCCGUCCCAGGUGCAGGACCCGGCACUUGCUCUUAUUGAACUUCAUGCGGUUGGUGAUCGCCCAGCUCUCCAACCUAUCCAGAUCCCUCUGCAAGGCCUUUCCACCCUCAUUCAAGUCCACAACUCCUCCAAGUUUGGUGUCAUCAGCAAACUUGCUCAAAAUACCUUCUAUUCCUACAUCCAGAUCGUUUAUAAAAAUAUUGAAAAGUUAGUAGUUCAGUUAGAAGUUCUUAAGUGCAAGACUAAGGUGUUGCAUCAAAAUAAAAUGACAGAAGGGUUAGGCUCAGGAGUUUGCUUUGUUUUUUUUUUGUUUGUUUUUUUUUUUUUAAGCACCUCUUCGUAACUGAGAAAAUGUUAUUCUGUGUGUACUCAUAACCCUGAGGCAAGUAUGGUUGAAUGGGUGGUGUGACAUGCAUGUUGCAGUGCUCAUCAAGCUAAGAUUCAUAAAGCAGGCUUUCCAGUAGAAUAUGUUUCCUGGUAAUGCUUCAUCAGGGAUGGUGUUUUUUAUGUUUUUCUCUCCAGUGAGAGACAAAGGAAUAAAUACAGAACAACUCNNNNNNNNNNAAGCCUUGUUACAGUGUGGUGGUGACCAGCUACUUUCAGAGCCAGUUCUGCAGAAUGCUUUUACUCAGGCUCAUUGCCAUCAGUGUAAAAGCAAUACCCAAGCGAUGUGUGAAAACCUAUUUUUUGUGGAUUUGCCGUUUCAUAGCUUAUUUUUUCUGUUUAUACAGCCCCAAUUUUUGCCUUUCUUCUUUUUGUGUAAGGCCUGAAAAAGCCAUUGAUGCAAGUGUUACUGAGAAGCAAAGAUAUGCUGGUGGGGGACAGGAUUGUAUGAAUUGUGCAUGGCUGCUGAAUUUUCAAGUUCUGCUUCUGUUUGGACUUGAGCUUCUGGUAUCCAGCCCUGCAGGCUGCAAAGCCUGGUGCCUGUGCCCCUUGUGUAGUGCGUGCCUGGGUCUUUUAUCUCUGGUCGAUGGAGCCUGCGAGGAGGAAUCGUCUGGAAACGAAAUGUCCUGAAUGAGGUGGAUGGCCAUGCUGGAAGCUGCAUGGGUUGAAUAAUCCCAUGAAUAAUUCCUUCACCACCUUGAUUGUUUAGAUAAAUCCAGAGCGGGUCGAUAGAUAUUAAUAUGGAUUAGAGAAAUUUUACUGAGAGCUUUUCAGUGUCCCAGUGGACACUUCUUAUGCAGAGCAAAUCUCCAUUUCAUGAACCAAAGCACAAAUGGUACCAGCAGGCACGCACUCAAAGAGGUGAGGGACUGACUUAUGGGGAGGCUGAAUUAUGAUAGCAUUUCUCGUAAUGGCUGGCCCCUCUUGUUGAGGCUCGUGCAUAAGCAGAGGCCCUAUGGGUACCAUCUGCUGUUUUUGUCCUUACUACACGUCUUCGUGGGGAGAUUUCUUUUUCUCAGGCUUGCCAGCAUGACAAUUUUGUAGCAAUUAUUGGAAGAGUCAUUUUUAAUAUAAAUUUAGUUGGGGGUCACAGGAAAAAAAAAAUGGCAAAGACAAAGAUCCAGCAGGCUACAACAAGAAGCAGCUCACAAAAGCAGCAAUGACAAUCGCAAUUUCAAGAGUUUCUUUUAGUUCAAGCAAGGAGAAACGUAGAGUACAUNNNNNNNNNNUUUUUUUUUCUUUAAAAGAGACCUUUUGUCUAUUUAGCAAGAUGCUUCAUAUCUGCUCAGAAUCAUUCUGGCUGCAGUGAUUUUUGAGGGAGAGACAAGUCAGCUGAUCUUAGAGAAUAGUUUAUCUUGGUUUGAUUUAAGAUUGCAAUGUGGGAAUAGACCAGACGCUAAAGAAGAGACUUGGUGUGGGUAAUGGCACGAGAAGUUAGUUUAAUCACUGUAGCUGUAGAAUAUGGCCAUUUACAAUCUCAGAGAUUAAAAGACUGCUCAGCUCUUGUGUUUAUGGAAAAAAAGAUACUAAAUAUCUCAGUCAAACACUGAGAUACAUGAUAGAUCUCAAUGAAAAGAUGGUCCCUUGAUAGGAAAACUGCUUGUACUGAAUGGCUUCAGAUACAGUCUAAAUUCUGGCCUCCUUUUAAGUGUGAGAUGAGGAGAUGAAUAAUCUUCCAAAAGAUCUCUAAUCUUAGAAGCUGAGAUUUUUCAGAGCAGGAGAACGAUAUACGUGAAAUGGAUUUUGAAGUCAUUCUCAGUUUGCAGAUGAUCUGCUGCAGACACGGUUCCUUGCACAUAGUUUGCCACUGAGUACAUUUCGAAUAGCCUUUAGAGAUCUGCAUUCUGAGAACAAACUGGUGAAUCAAUUAAUGUAUUUAAAUUAGUUGAAAAUUAGACUAUUGCUUCAGUGUCCUGCCAGGCAGGACUUCAGAAUUUAUUAAUUCAGCCUCACGUUCCUUUAUUUACAAGCGGUGCCUACGUUUCAGUGUCCAGAAGCACUGAGAUCAGCCAGAGCAGGUGCAUGCUGCUCCUCCUACUGCUGCCAAAGGGGAUGAUGCUCGGGGAGGAAGGGUCGAGGCUUUUUGGCAUCUUGCAGGUGUGCAGCAGCUGCUAGUUUAGAGCACAGGGAGUCAGAGGGAGCCCAGGAGGUGUCAGCCCUCCUUCCUGACAGAUGUUAGCCUGGCCUGCUUGUAAAGGCUUCUGGCAACUGCCUCCCCAUACGUGAUGUGGUUUUGCGUCACCAUCUUUCCUCCAUGAAAAUAAGUUUCUUUAAAGCCAGCCUGGCACGGCUGUGGGGGAGCAAGUUGUUCCUGCAGCCCCCUGGGUGUUUCAAACCAUGACCAUGUCCUGGCCAUCACCAUCCCUUCACCGCUGUGCCGCUGCCUCCCCAUUGCCGCCGCUGCGGCCACUUCUCCCUUUCCAAUUUAACAGCAGCUCAGAUGUAAAUCAGGGUUUAGGCGUUAAAAAUAGCUGGCACCUGCUCCAGCCACGCUCAGCCGGGGUAAGCUGGGGCCCUGCUGCUGCCUGUGCCAGCCAUGGGGCUGGCGGGAGGGCUGAGGUGAGGCCUUCUCCACCCACCGCCAGUGGGGCAGCCCCGGCCCCUCAGAGGGCCCUGCAUCACCCGCUGGCAGGCUCAUCAGCUGCACUCGUGGAUGAUUAAUAAAAUACUCGUUUUCUGUCUCUGCAGCUGUGUUCUCUUCUAUUUAAGUUAUUUUCCUCUGCUUUUAACUUCAAAAAAAAAAAAAGUUUACUCUUGCUCAGUUUGGCCAAGUCCAAAGUCCAAGCUAGGACAAUGUAAAGAUAAUGCAUCCUAUUAGGAAUUACCUUAUUAUUUCAUAUUAUAAUUAGCUCAAGCUCCAUCAGCCUUCUGGAAAUCUUAUUUAUGUAUUUCUGAUUAACUAGAAAUACUAUAAAGAUAGUAAUAAAAAAAUUCCCAUGUGUAAACAAGGUGGUGGUGGGGGGGACACUAGUUCAAAGGCUGAGGGCACAUAUUUUUCUGGAGCAGAUAACACUAGGCUGUGGCAUGUAGCUCUGUUAAAGAUGUGCAUUUGGAAAAGAAAAAGAAAAAAAAUCUUGGCCACUUCUUCUUGGAAAGGAAUAUGUGGAAUAUAUCUGACUUCUUGAGAUCCUGAAGAGCUGAUGCAUGUAAAAUGAUCGUCUCCUUCACUGCAAUAACUUCGCCCGUAACAGAGAAGAGCACUUUUUUCUCAGAAUACAGCUGUAUUUAACUGUACUUCCCUUGUCUGUGCUAUUGAGUGAGACAUGACAGCUAACGCAGCUAGUUUCACUGUUGCCC